Cervus elaphus (red deer) is the source of this 558-nucleotide long non-coding RNA. RefSeq lists it as uncharacterized. The record is from RefSeq and is a predicted model, not a curated record. The transcript has 3 exons. Lineage: Eukaryota; Metazoa; Chordata; Mammalia; Artiodactyla; Cervidae.
AAAGGAAGUUACCACAACAUGGUGUCCAAGCCAAGAAAUAUCCCCGGCAUCCUCGUGGUAAAUUUAGUUGAAGAUUUAUCUAAAAGAAAAGAAAAAUAAUUUAUGGAUUGAGCUCCAUCGCAUGACAGUGUUUAAGAUUCCUAUCUACGUAUCAGCUACCAAGGCUAUUAAAAUCUUGAAGCGCCUGUGAAGAGAACUCACCCACUGGCCUGGGCGCUCUCUGCAAGUGUCGCACCUGAGUCAUGCUGCAUCGGCAAUGCUAGGAGCGGAAGCCCUGUGCCCACUCAUCCUCUAAGACCAGGGGUCUCAGAUUUAGCAAAUAAAGUUACAGUUUAGUUUUUGGUUUUCUAGAUUUGAACUCAAUGGAUCUCACUUUGGAAUGACCUGAUAUCCUGCACAUAUUUUAACUGAAUCGUCCUAAGAAACAGAAAGCAAGCCAUUUUUUCUGCUCAAGUCGGAGGGAGACAGUGCCUCUCGCUGCAGGGUCAUCUGAUGAUAACAAAUUUGAAAAUGGUUUGCACUAUUUAAAAGUUGUCACUUAUUUGAAAUAAAAUAAAC